GACGAACGCUGGCGGCGUGCCUAAUACAUGCAAGUAGGACGCAGUUGCGAACGGGUGAGUAACGCGUAGGUAACUACCUAUUAGAGGGGGAUAACUAAUGGAAACGAUAGCUAAUACCGCAUACUAGUAGAUGGACCUGCGUUGUAUUAGCUAGUAGGGAGGGUAAUGGCCUACCUAGGCAACGAAGACUAGCCGACCGGGGAGGGUGAGUGGCCACACUGGGACUGGUACACGGUCCAGACUCCUACGGGAGGCAUAAGUAGGGAAACUUCGGCAAUGGGGGGAACCCGGACCGAGCAAUGCCGCGUGAGUGAAGAAGUUUUUCGGAUCGUAAAGCUCUGUUGUUAAGGAAGCGGUACUUAACCAGAAAGGGACGGCUAACUACGUGCCAGCAGCCGCGGUAAUAC
Molecule: ribosomal RNA, 407 nt
Filed under: uncultured bacterium
Lineage: Bacteria
Description: partial 16S ribosomal RNA
Rfam family: Bacterial small subunit ribosomal RNA
Source: RNAcentral